GGCCUCGUAGCUCAGUUGGCAGAGCAUUGACUAGUAUCCCAAAGGUCGCGGGUUCGAUUCCCACCGUGGUCA
Molecule: non-coding RNA, 72 nt
Organism: Paramuricea clavata
Lineage: Eukaryota; Metazoa; Cnidaria; Anthozoa; Malacalcyonacea; Plexauridae
Source: the annotation of a GenBank genome assembly